This 274-nucleotide ribosomal RNA is filed under the name uncultured bacterium. Its description in RNAcentral is "partial 16S ribosomal RNA". It matches the Rfam family "Bacterial small subunit ribosomal RNA", at positions 523 to 796 of the family's 1533-position model. The record is from RNAcentral.
AUACGGAGGGUGCAAGCGUUACUCGGAAUCACUGGGCGUAAAGCGCGCGCAGGCGGUCUUUUAAGUUGGAUGUGAAAGCCUACGGCUCAACCGUAGAACUGCAUCCAAAACUAUUAGACUAGAGUGUGGGAGAGGAAGAUGGAAUUAGUUGUGUAGGGGUAAAAUCCGUAGAGAUAACUAGGAAUACUAAAAGCGAAGGCAAUCUUCUGGAACACUACUGACGCUGAGGCGCGAAAGCGUGGGGAGCAAACAGGAUUAGAUACCCUAGUAGUCC